This 253-nucleotide ribosomal RNA is filed under the name uncultured bacterium. RNAcentral describes it as "partial 16S ribosomal RNA". It matches the Rfam family "Bacterial small subunit ribosomal RNA", at positions 524 to 776 of the family's 1533-position model. The record is from RNAcentral.
UACGAAGGGGGCAAGCGUUGUUCGGAUUUACUGGGCGUACAGGGAGCGUAGGCGGUUGGGUAAGCCCUCCGUGAAAUCUCCAGGCUUAACCUGGAAAGUGCAGAGGGGACUGCUCGGCUAGAGGAUGGGAGAGGAGCGCGGAAUUCCCGGUGUAGCGGUGAAAUGCGUAGAGAUCGGGAGGAAGGCCGGUGGCGAAGGCGGCGCUCUGGAACAUUUCUGACGCUGAGGCUCGAAAGCGUGGGUAGCGAACAGG